Andrographis paniculata is the source of this 154-nucleotide small nuclear RNA. RefSeq annotates it as U4 spliceosomal RNA. The transcript has a single exon. The record is from RefSeq and is a predicted model, not a curated record. Lineage: Eukaryota; Viridiplantae; Streptophyta; Magnoliopsida; Lamiales; Acanthaceae.
AUCUUUGCGCUUGGGGCAAUGACGCAGCUAGUGAGGUUCUAACCGAGGCGCGUCUAUUGCUGGUUGAAAACUAUUUCCAAACCCCCUCUUCGGCCCGGGCUUGACUCGGGCCGUCGAGAAUUUCUGGAAGGGCUCCUUCUCUGAAGGUAAAGCC